This 484-nucleotide ribosomal RNA is filed under the name Trimma xanthochrum (step-spot pygmy goby). RNAcentral describes it as "partial small subunit ribosomal RNA". It matches the Rfam family "Microsporidia small subunit ribosomal RNA", at positions 752 to 1274 of the family's 1311-position model. The record is from RNAcentral. Lineage: Eukaryota; Metazoa; Chordata; Actinopteri; Gobiiformes; Gobiidae.
CACUAUGCCUAGCCUUAAACAAAAAUGCAACCCGCAUUCGCCUGGGGACAACGAGCUCCCACUUCAAUGAAGCUUAAAACCCAAAGGACUUGGCGGUGCUUUAAACCCCCCUAGAGGAGCCUGUUUUAGAAUCGACACCCCCCGAUCAACCUCACCUUCUUUCGUCCUCCCAGCUUAUAUACCACCGUCGCCAGCUCACCCUGUAAAGGGCAUAUAGUAAGCAAAAGCGGUUACCCCCCAAUACGUCAGGUCAAGGUGUAGCCAACAAGAAGGAUAAGAUGGGCUACAUUUACUGCCCCAGUAAACUACGGAACAUAAAUUGAAACAUUAAUGUGAAGGAGGAUUUAGUAGUAAGAUAAGAACAGAGUGCUCUUCUGAAAAAGGCUCUAAAGCGCGCACACACCGCCCGUCACCCUCCUCAAUAAAUCCCACUUCCAAUAAAUAAUAUAUCGCAUGAUUUAACAUACGAGGAGGCAAGUCGUAA